Molecule: ribosomal RNA, 433 nt
Filed under: uncultured bacterium
Lineage: Bacteria
Description: partial 16S ribosomal RNA
Rfam family: Bacterial small subunit ribosomal RNA
Source: RNAcentral
AGCGAACGCUGGCGGCAGGCUUAACACAUGCAAGUCGAACGGACCCUCCGGGCUUUGUGGCGGACGGGUGGUUGACACGUGGGAACGUGCCCUUAGGUUCGGUAUAGCUCCUGGUAACGGGUGUUAAUGCCGCAUGUGCCCAUCGGGGGUAAGAGCUAUCGCCUUUGGAGCGGGCUUGGUCUGAUUCGUUGGUUGGUGAGGUAACGGCUAAUCAUGGGGACGUUCAGUAGCUGGUGGGAGAGGAUGCCCAUCCGGACUGGGACUGAGGCACGGACCAGACUCCUACGGGAGGCAGCAGUGGGGAAUCUUGCGCGAUGAGCGAAAGCCUGACGCAGCCAUGCCGCGUGAAUGAUGAAGGGCUUAGGAUUGUAAAAUUCUUUCACCGGAGGCGAUAAUGACGGUACCCGGAGAAGAAGCCCCGGCUAACUACGUG